Molecule: non-coding RNA, 90 nt
Organism: Mycena rosella
Lineage: Eukaryota; Fungi; Basidiomycota; Agaricomycetes; Agaricales; Mycenaceae
Source: the annotation of a GenBank genome assembly
UCGGACGUGGUGUACGGAGCACACUCGCUCUUGCUAUAAGGCAUCGAAAGAAUGCAGCGAGUGCUCGGGGUUCGACUCCCCGCGUCUGAA